This 215-nucleotide ribosomal RNA is filed under the name uncultured bacterium. RNAcentral describes it as "partial 16S ribosomal RNA". It matches the Rfam family "Bacterial small subunit ribosomal RNA", at positions 524 to 736 of the family's 1533-position model. The record is from RNAcentral.
UACGUAGGGUGCAAGCGUUUAAUCGGAAUUACUGGGCGUAAAGCGUGCGCAGGCGGUUUUGUAAGUCUGUCGUGAAAUCCCCCGGGCUCAACCUGGGAAUUGCGAUGGAGACUGCAAGGCUAGAAUCUGGCAGAGGGGGGUAGAAUUCCACGUGUAGCAGUGAAAUGCGUAGAGAUGUGGAGGAACACCGAUGGCGAAGGCAGCCCCCUGGGUCA